RNAcentral lists this small nuclear RNA (164 nucleotides) under Oryzias javanicus (javanese ricefish). RNAcentral describes it as "U1 spliceosomal RNA (ENSOJAG00000015768.1)". It matches the Rfam family "U1 spliceosomal RNA". Rfam says of the family: U1 is a small nuclear RNA (snRNA) component of the spliceosome (involved in pre-mRNA splicing). Lineage: Eukaryota; Metazoa; Chordata; Actinopteri; Beloniformes; Adrianichthyidae. The record is from Rfam by way of RNAcentral.
AUACUUACCUGGCAGGGGUGACACCAUGAUCAAGCAGGUGGUUUGCCCAAGGUGAGGCUUUGUCAUUGCACUCUGACCGUGCUGACCCUUGUGAAUUCCCCAAAUGUGGGAAUCUCAACUGCAUAAUUUGUGGUAGUGGGGGACUGCGUUCGCGCUCUCCCCUG